GAGAGCCUGCGGGACCCCGCGGUCAGCCCCGCUCACCCGCCCCGGCCCCGCCCGCCCGCGGACUCCUCCAAACUGAAAGAGAAACCGGUUCCGGGUCCGUUCUGUUCCCGAACCUCGGACUUGGGACCCGGGACGUCAGCGUCCCUGUGUCGGGACGUGGAGGGGUCGUGACCUCCGACCCGGGGUCACUCACCGCCCUUGCUCUGGUUGUAGUAGCCGAGCAGGGUCCUCAGGUCCACUCGGAAACUCUGCUCAUUGCCCUUGGCUUUCUGUGUCUCCCGCUCCCAAUACUCGGGCCCCUCCUGCUCCAUCCACCGCGCCCGCGGCUCAUAUCUCGGAUUCUCCGCGUCGCUGUCGAAGCGCACGAACUCCGUGUCGUCCACGUAGCCGACUUCCAUGUACCGGGGCUCCCCGAGGCCGGGCCGGGACACGGCGGUGACGAAAUACCUCAGCGAGUGUGGGCCUGGGGGCGGCGCGCGGUGAGACCCGGACCACCUCACCAGACCCCGGGCGGCUGCGCGGGCUGAGAGGGGAGCAGGGCGCGGGACUCGGGUGGAGAAGGGGCGGAGGGUCCGGUGGGCGACCCGAGGACGCGGCUUCCCCGGUGCCGCCCCUCCCCUCAGAGGCCGUUUCCCUCCCGGCCCGGUACUCACCCGCGCGGGUCUGAGUCGGAGCCAGGGCGGCCGCCAACAGCAGGAGCAGCGUGCACGGUACCAUCGCACCUGUCGGCGAUUCGCGACUUCUGAGUUCUGCGGGCUGCGUGGACUUUAUAUCCAGCGUCCGCGGCGACACUGAUUGGUUCUUGGUGAUCGCGCCACCCAAUGGGGGUAAGAGCUGACUGCGCGUCAACAGUGUCCGGACAGAAGGACCUGACCCAGUUUCUCUCAAGGUGCUCAGCAGCAGGCUGUGGAUCAGCUGUGUGGUUUCCUGAUGUGAACAUUCCAAUGGUGGCUGGAGAGAUGGCUCAGAGCUGAGAGCACGUGUUCCUGUUGCAGAGGAUCCAGGGUGAGUUCCAUCAGCACGUGGCGGCUGUCAACCAUCUGCAACUUCAGUUCCAAUGGACCCAAUGCUUGUGUACCUACAUACUCAUGUACAAAAAAAUAAUUCUAAUAAAAAAUUUAAACAUA
Mus musculus (house mouse) is the source of this 1127-nucleotide long non-coding RNA. RefSeq annotates it as predicted gene, 53999. The record is from RefSeq and is a predicted model, not a curated record. NCBI's taxonomy places the organism in Eukaryota, Metazoa, Chordata, Mammalia, Rodentia, Muridae. The transcript has 2 exons.